Astatotilapia calliptera (eastern happy) is the source of this 119-nucleotide ribosomal RNA. NCBI's taxonomy places the organism in Eukaryota, Metazoa, Chordata, Actinopteri, Cichliformes, Cichlidae. The record is from Ensembl.
GCUUACGGCCAUAUCACCCUGAACACGCCCGAUCUCGUCUGAUCUCGGAAUCUAAGCAGGGUCGGUCCUGGUCAGUACUUGGAUUGGAGAUCGCCUGGGAAUAUCAGGUGCUGUAAGCU